Molecule: non-coding RNA, 344 nt
Organism: Pelobates cultripes (western spadefoot toad)
Lineage: Eukaryota; Metazoa; Chordata; Amphibia; Anura; Pelobatidae
Source: the annotation of a GenBank genome assembly
GGUGUACAUAGUCUGUAACAAUCUCUAGGUGUCAAAGUCACAUACACAUAAAUGCCAGAACCCAAGGUUUACCAGCAAAACAUUGACCAGAGAAUAACGCUACCUCUACCGGCCUGCCUUCUUUGUAUCUCCUUCCCAGGUAAACAACACACACACCCGGCGAUCCAUCUGAUCUAAAAGAAAACAUGAUUCAUCACCCCAGGCAACCUUCUUUCAUUGCUCUAUUGAAGGCACUUUCGGCUGUGCACAGGGGUCAUCAUGGGAACACUGACCAGUCUGUGGCUAUGCAGCCUCAUUCACAGACAACUGUGAUGCACUGUGGGUUCUGACACCUUUCUAUCAUG